GGGGAUGUGGUCUAGUGGUAUGACGUUUCCUUAGCAUGCUUCGCAUGGAAAAGGUUCAGGGUUCGAUUCCCUGCCUCUCCA
This is a non-coding RNA of Xylariales sp. AK1849, 81 nucleotides long. Lineage: Eukaryota; Fungi; Ascomycota; Sordariomycetes; Xylariales. The record is from the annotation of a GenBank genome assembly.